Molecule: unclassified non-coding RNA, 329 nt
Filed under: soil metagenome
Description: partial contains 5.8S ribosomal RNA, internal transcribed spacer 2, and large subunit ribosomal RNA
Rfam family: 5.8S ribosomal RNA (bases 1-120)
Source: RNAcentral
GAUGAAGAACGUAGCGAAAUGCGAUAAGUAGUGUGAAUUGCAGAAUUCAGUGAAUCAUCGAAUCUUUAAACGCACAUUGCGCCCCUUGGUAUCCCGAGGGGCAUGCCUGUUCGAGCGUCAUUUCACCACUCAAGCCUGGCUUGGUGUUGGGCGACGUCCCCUUUGGGGACGCGCCUCGAAACGCUCGGCGGCGUGGCACCGGCUUUAAGCGUAGCAGAAUCUUUCGCUUUGGAAGUCGGGGCCCCGUCUGCCGGAAGACCUACUCGCAAGGUUGACCUCGGAUCAGGCAGGGAUACCCGCUGAACUUAAGCAUAUCAAUAAGCGGAGGA